RNAcentral lists this ribosomal RNA (449 nucleotides) under uncultured bacterium. RNAcentral's name for it is "partial 16S ribosomal RNA". It matches the Rfam family "Bacterial small subunit ribosomal RNA", at positions 29 to 523 of the family's 1533-position model. The record is from RNAcentral.
AACGAACGCUGGCGGCAGGCUUAACACAUGCAAGUCGAACGAGAUCUUCGGAUCUAGUGGCAGACGGGUGAGGAACACGUGGGAACAUCCCUUUCAGUUCGGAAUAACGUUGGGAAACUAACGCUAAUACCGGAUACGUCCUUCGGGAGAAAGAUUUAUCGCUGAAAGAUUGGCCCGCGUCUGAUCAGCUAGUUGGUGAGGUAACAGCUCACCAAGGCUACGAUCAGUAGCUGAUCUGAGAGGAUGAUCAGCCACAUUGGGACUGAGACACGGCCCAAACUCCUACGGGAGGCAGCAGUGGGGAAUAUUGGACAAUGGGCGCAAGCCUGAUCCAGCCAUGCCGCGUGAGUGAUGACGGCCUUCGGGUUGUAAAGCUCUUUUGUCCGGGAAGAUAAUGACUGUACCGGAAGAAUAAGCCCCGGCAAACUUCGUGCCAGCAGCCGCGGUAA